Rattus norvegicus (Norway rat) is the source of this 1623-nucleotide non-coding RNA. Lineage: Eukaryota; Metazoa; Chordata; Mammalia; Rodentia; Muridae. The record is from RefSeq and is a predicted model, not a curated record.
UCUCAACCACUGCAUGCUCCAUUUUAUUCAGGUCUCUUGGUAACUUCAGGACAUGAAAGCUCACCUGUUAUUUUCCUUCCCUCUCUCACUGAAACACUUCUUGACUUCUAAGGCUGAGAAAAACUCCACUUUUAAGAUUACGUUUGACCACGGUGUUGAGGGAGCCUCCACGCAUGCUCCGGAAAUAUAGCAGCUCCACGCAUGCUCGGAAAUCAUGGCAGCUCCAGGAAUGAUUGGGAAACACAGCAGCUCCAAGCAUGCUCCGGAAACAUGGUAGCUCCACGUAUGCUUGGGAAAUAUGGCAGCUCCAUGCAUUCUUCAGUUGCUCUCUAGGCCCCUUCAGAGACCAAUUAUUAGAAUUUAGACCUCCCCCGACACCUUGGACCUCCUCUGUUGACAAGGUUUUAUUGCAUAUAUAUAUUGUGUUCUUUCCAGGAAGUGGAGAGGCUCUUGUGUCCAAGGCUGGCUUCAAACUAGCUACAAAGCCAAGGAUGGCCUUGAAUUUCUAAAUACCCGGAUUAAAGGUGAACAUCACUGAACCUGGAUUGUGAGGUCCUAGAAACAGAGCCCAGAGCUACCCGCAGCCAAACAAGCAGUCUAGCAGGCCUUGUCCAGCUGAGGUUCGCUCACUCUGUUCUGAUCCAGAGGAGAUUGCUGAGCCAUGUCAACUUGCCUGCUACCAUGUUCCCCAUCAUGACGGUCCUGAAUUCUAACCCUCUGGAAUGGAAUGGGCUCUCACGCAGCUGCUAGCCGCUGUUUGGAUGUACCACGAUACUUUCAAAGAUGGUGACUGUUUGGUGCUUGCCUUCCACGAGUACCUAACAACAGCAGAUUGCUCCAGCAGACGUUUUAAAAGGUCUAUAUGCAUAAAGUGUCUCCAGUCCCAAAGUGACAUUGGGCUUGCUGAAACCAGAGAAUCAUCCAGAAGGCCUCCCAUUUCCUCUCAACAGAAAGAUCCAGAGUCACCCUCGUUCCACCUCUUGCUCCGCCUCUCCAUUACGCAUCAUCUAUUGGAUCUAUUGCUCCAAGCUUGUUUGCAAUUCUCAGUAGGUGGUGACCCAGUUCAUGUAACCCUGUCAGAUUCUUCUGGAAGGUAGUACAUUAACCUACAGGGAGCUUCUAACACAUGUGACCAGUGCUCCUGUUUACAUUUGGCCUAGACACAUGUGAGGCUAAUCAUGGAUCCAUGUAGACAUCUAGGCUGAAAUCCCACCUUUCACUCUCUUCCUCUCUCUCCUGGGAAGGGACGGUGCAUGGAGUCAUUUAGCUGAGAGCUGUUUCUAAAUGAGUACAGAACAUAGGACUCAUACUAAAUGAAAUUUCUCAGUUGAUUUUUUUUCCAUCCAUUCCACAGUCAGGUAAGCUUCUGCGCAGUCCCAAACAUUCUUUGUUGACUGAAGCACAGAGUCUCUACAAAGGUGCCUCAAUUUAUAGCAGAAUUACACCUCUAUAAACCUAUCGUAAGUCAAAACUAUUGCGAGUCAAAAUGCAUUUAACAGCUGUAGUCUAUUGAACAUCAUAGAUUAUCCUAGCCUACUUCAAAUAUAUCCCGGAUGCUUAUACUGCCCUACAGUUGGGGAAAUUCUCUAAUACAAAAACUAUUUUAUGAAUAAAUAUUGAAAA